AGUAGCCAAUAAGAAGUAAUCUGCAAAUCAAAAAAUCUGAACUGAAAAUCUAAAAACCAAAUUGGAGAUAUAAACAAAUGCAAGAAGAGAACUACCUCUUAUAACAGAUGAUCAAAACCUUCAAGCUAGAUCAAAAUCCAACCCCUCUGGUUUAUCCUAAAUUCCACAUCAUACAGUCAUUUCAAUCAUCUUAAGGGCUUGUUUAAAUCAUUAAUUAGUUCAAUUAUAGAGUUAUCCUAAUUAAUCCUAAAAUCCUAAGUUGACAUGCAUCAUGAAUUUGGGGAAAAGCUAAUAAUGCUACUCUAUUAAGUGAGAGUUUACCUAAUGGAAAUCACCUGAUUUAAUAGCAGUACGGCGUUAUUCCGCAAGCUUAAAACCAUCUGUUUGUGCCGCUUGAGUACUCAAACCCGUAGUCCUCAAAACAUCAUUUUCACAGUUUCAAUACCUCAACUUCAUAAGCGUCCCCAGACUUCAUUUCCUAACCAAAAAUUAUGAAAUUAGAGUCACAACUACCUAAAUUGAGUUAGCUAACCACAGAAACAAACGACAUUUCAAUUGGAGUUAGGAGGAGUGAGAAUUUACCUUUUUAGUGGAGCUUUAUCUUAGAACACAAGUUUAACCCAAACUUCUUCAAAAAUCACCGAUCAAAAUUCCAAAGCUUCCAUCUUGUACCCAUGUUCAUUGCUUCUGAUAUAUUCCCAGAAUAUCUCAAAUCCAUUAAACUCACAUGCAAUUUACCAAAUUAAGGUUUUAACUUGAAUGGAGGAAGGAAAAGGGGUUUAUGAUUCUUACCUAUAACUUCUCUGUAAAACUUGAACACCAUCAGAACCUCCUGUAAUAUCCCAACUUUAAUUAAUAAAAGAAUAUUAAUUAGAGAUAAGUAUUAGAGACUAGCUGGAAAUAAGUGGAAGGGCGAGAUAGUAAUUAAACAUGAAAUAAGUACUUGAGUAAUUCACACCAUUCAUUUCUUUCAUUCUGUAAAGUCAGAAAGAAAAUCACAAGAGAUGUGGCUCUCGUUUCUCUCACACCUAAGAACACCACCAUCUCCACUCUACUCAUGAAACCCAAUCCCUCAUUUUCUCUCAUCUCUGUUCGCCAUUCCUUCCUCGUUCAUUCAAACAAAAUCAUCACUUUCCAUUAAUUGGACACAUUCAAGCUUGCAUACCACAACUUCAACCCUUUAUGAGAAAUUGGGAUUUUACUAUCUUGAAUUGGAUUUUGGUAACUUUGCAUGUGAGGAAUUCUGCCAUGAAUUAAGUGAUUGGGUGGCCAGGAAGAAAUUUAAGGUAAUAAUCAUCAAGCUCUCAUCUAUUCCUCUGAUGUUUUGUUUAGGUAUGUUAUGAAAACUCACUAAUUUACAUUUUGGAGCACUUGCAUGUGAAUUUCUUGUGGUCAAGGAAUCAUGGGUUGUGAUUGGAGCUGUAAUCUUGUGUUUAAAAUAUGCUACUGGUUGGAUUUUGAAGAAACAGAGGAGUUAGAAUAAAUAAAAGAAAAGAAGGAAUUGGAUUGGUAAUGUAAGAAAAACUUUCUGCACUUUUGAGUCUGGACCUGUCUUCAGUAAUCGAGUCAUAGCUGACAAACCGUAAAUCCGUUUUGAAUAAGACUUACAUGUCUGGAAAGGCGACGAAAUUCCGGUCGUCUCGGUGCCAACUACGUAUAAUUUGGAUCAAUAUUGAGGGCUGGGGACGCCUUUGAAGUUGGAGCUCUGAUGCAGAAUUAUGCAGAAAAUUCUGAUUAUGGGUUUAUAGCAUUUCACUUGCAAAUUAUGCGUUUCGGCGAGCUCUGGAAGUGUCGCUGGUAUUGUUCAAGCUUCUUUUCAGAUAAGCAGGUUGAUCGCGAUGUCGUGGUCAGCAAGCAUGAAGACCCAGAUAUGUGGAGUACGAUUUGGAGCUGACGUUAUGUUUAUCUUAUAUCUUGUAUAAGAUUCAGUUUAUUUAUGUUUAGUUGUUGGCUCAAAUUUGUAUUCACUUCUUGGAUUUUAUAAUCCUAUUCAUGUGUUUAUGUAAUGAAAAUUUAAUGUUUUCCGAUUCAGUUA
Molecule: long non-coding RNA, 2035 nt
Organism: Trifolium pratense (red clover)
Lineage: Eukaryota; Viridiplantae; Streptophyta; Magnoliopsida; Fabales; Fabaceae
Exons: 2
Source: RefSeq, a predicted model, not a curated record